RNAcentral lists this ribosomal RNA (273 nucleotides) under uncultured bacterium. RNAcentral's name for it is "partial 16S ribosomal RNA". It matches the Rfam family "Bacterial small subunit ribosomal RNA", at positions 524 to 796 of the family's 1533-position model. The record is from RNAcentral.
UACGGAGGAUCCAAGCGUUAUCCGGAUUUAUUGGGUUUAAAGGGUGCGUAGGCGGCUCUUUAAGUCAGGGGUGAAAGACGGUGGCUCAACCAUCGCAGUGCCUUUGAUACUGAAGAGCUUGAAUAGACCUGAGGUAGGCGGAAUGUGACAAGUAGCGGUGAAAUGCAUAGAUAUGUCACAGAACACCAAUUGCGAAGGCAGCUUACUAAAGUCUAAUUGACGCUGAGGCACGAAAGCGUGGGGAUCAAACAGGAUUAGAAACCCCCGUAGUCC